Molecule: ribosomal RNA, 500 nt
Filed under: uncultured bacterium
Lineage: Bacteria
Description: partial 16S ribosomal RNA
Rfam family: Bacterial small subunit ribosomal RNA
Source: RNAcentral
AUUGAACGCUGGCGGCAUGCCUUACACAUGCAAGUCGAACGGCAGCACGGGAGCAAUCCUGGUGGCGAGUGGCGAACGGGUGAGUAAAGUAUCGGAACGUGCCCAGUCGUGGGGGAUAACGUAGCGAGAGUUACGCUAAUACCGCAUACGAUCUACGGAUGAAAGCGGGGGAUCGCAAGACCUCGCGCGAUUGGAGCGGCUGAUAUCAGAUAAGGUAGUUGGUGGGGUAAAGGCUCACCAAGCCGACGAUCUGUAGCUGGUCUGAGAGGACGACCAGCCACACUGGGACUGAGACACGGCCCAGACUCCUACGGGAGGCAGCAGUGGGGAAUUUUGGACAAUGGGCGCAAGCCUGAUCCAGCCAUGCCGCGUGCAGGAUGAAGGCCUUUGGGUUGUAAACUGCUUUUGUACGGAACGAAAAGGUUUGGCCUAAUAAGCUGGACCCAUGACGGUACCGUAAGAAUAAGCACCGGCUAACUGCGUGCCAGCCGCCGCAGUAA